GGGAAUCUCAAAUGCAGCAACUUUGUCACCCGUAUGAUCCCACUCAUCAGCUUGUCCACAAUAUUCAACGAUUGUCAUCUGAGCAUAAUGAUUUUUCAUUAAAGAAAAUAUCUGCAGCUCCCACGCAUUGUGGGUCAACCAAUGUUUUAAAUGGUACUUUAGAAGGUAAUGCAGCAAACUAUAGUGUGAACGGUAGCGCCUC
RNAcentral lists this unclassified non-coding RNA (202 nucleotides) under Hevea brasiliensis (rubber tree). The record is from RNAcentral. Lineage: Eukaryota; Viridiplantae; Streptophyta; Magnoliopsida; Malpighiales; Euphorbiaceae.